GGAUUCCCCUAGUAACGGCGAGUGAAGAGGGAAGAGCUCAAAUUUGAAAUCUGGCGGCUUACGGUCGUCCGAGUUGUAAUCUAGAGAAGUGUUUUCCGUGCUGGACCGUGUACAAGUCCUUUGGAACAAGGCGUCAUAGAGGGUGAGAAUCCCGUCUACGACACGGACUACCAGUGCUCUGUGAUACACUCUCAACGAGUCGAGUUGUUUGGGAAUGCAGCUCAAAAUGGGUGGUAAAUUCCAUCUAAAGCUAAAUAUGGGCGAAAGACCGAUAGCGAACAAGUACCGUGAGGGAAAGAUGAAAAGCACUUUGGAAAGAGAGUUAAACAGUACGUGAAAUUGUUGAAAGGGAAACGCUUGAAGUCAGUCGCGUCUUCAGAAACUCAGCCUGGCUUCUGCCUGGUGUACUUUUCUGUGGGACGGGCCAGCAUCAGUUUCGGUCGCCAGAAAAAGGUGGGAGGAAGGUGGCACCUCCGGGUGUGUUAUAGCCUCCCAUCGUAUGUGGCGACGGGGACUGAGGACCGCAGCACGCCUUUAUGGCCGGGGUUCGCCCACGUAACGUGCUUAGGAUGCUGGCGUAAUGGCUUUAAACGACCCGUCUUGAAACACGGACCAAGGAGUCUAACAUGCCUGCGAGUAUUUGGGUGGCAAACCCAUAUGCGGAAUGAAAGUGAACAGUUGGGACUUCUGUCAUGGAAGGGCACCGACGCCCGGGACCAGACCUACUGUGACGGAUCCGAGGUAGAGCAUGUAUGUUGGGACCCGAAAGAUGGUGAACUAUGCCUGAGUAGGGUGAAGCCAGAGGAAACUCUGGUGGAGGCUCGUAGCGAUUCUGACGUGCAAAUCGAUCGUCGAACUUGGGUAUAGGGGCGAAAGACUAAUC
Molecule: ribosomal RNA, 883 nt
Filed under: Geastrum sp. TNS KH-AUS10-80
Lineage: Eukaryota; Fungi; Basidiomycota; Agaricomycetes; Geastrales; Geastraceae
Description: LSU rRNA
Rfam family: Eukaryotic large subunit ribosomal RNA
Source: RNAcentral